This 496-nucleotide ribosomal RNA is filed under the name uncultured bacterium. RNAcentral's name for it is "partial 16S ribosomal RNA". It matches the Rfam family "Bacterial small subunit ribosomal RNA", at positions 28 to 507 of the family's 1533-position model. The record is from RNAcentral.
GAUGAACGCUGGCGGCGUGCCUAAUACAUGCAAGUCGAGCGAACAGACGAGGAGCUUGCUCCUCUGACGUUAGCGGCGGACGGGUGAGUAACACGUGGAUAACCUACCUAUAAGACUGGGAUAACUUCGGGAAACCGGAGCUAAUACCGGAUAAUAUAUUGAACCGCAUGGUUCAAUAGUGAAAGACGGUUUGCUGUCACUUAUAGAUGGAUCCGCGCCGCAUUAGCUAGUUGGUAAGGUAACGGCUUACCAAGGCAACGAUGCGUAGCCGACCUGAGAGGGUGAUCGGCCACACUGGAACUGAGACACGGUCCAGACUCCUACGGGAGGCAGCAGUAGGGAAUCUUCCGCAAUGGGCGAAAGCCUGACGGAGCAACGCCGCGUGAGUGAUGAAGGUCUUCGGAUCGUAGAACUCUGUUAUUAGGGAAGAACAAAUGUGUAAGUAACUAUGCACGUCUUGACGGUACCUAAUCAGAAAGCCACGGCUAACUACGUG